GGGUUCCUACGGGGGGCAGCAGUCGAGAAUCAUUCACAAUGGGGGAAACCCUGAUGGUGCGACGCCGCGUGGGGGAAUGAAGGGCUUCGGAUUGUAAACCCCUGUCAUGUGGGAGCAAAUUAAAAAGAUAGUACUACAAGAGGAAGAGACGGCUAACCCUGUGCCAGCAGCCGCGGUAAUACAGAGGUCUCAAGCGUUGUUCGGAAUCACUGGGCGUAAAGCGUGCGUAGGCUGUUCCGUAAGUCGUGUGUGAAAGGCGCGGGCUCAACCCGCGGACGGCACAUGAUACUGCGAGGCUAGAGGAA
This 305-nucleotide ribosomal RNA is filed under the name uncultured bacterium. RNAcentral describes it as "bacterial SSU rRNA". It matches the Rfam family "Bacterial small subunit ribosomal RNA", at positions 333 to 649 of the family's 1533-position model. The record is from RNAcentral.